GACGAACGCUGGCGGCGCGCUUAACACAUGCAAGUCGAACGGAAAGGCCUGCUUUCCCUUGUGGAUUGCGGGUACUCGAGUGGCGAACGGGUGAGUAACACGUGAGUGAUCUGCCCCCAACUUGGGUAUAAGCCUGGGAAACUGGGUCUAAUUCCCGAUAGGACUGCAGGGUGGUGCCUGUGGUGGAAAACGAUUUUCUAGUGGUUGGGGAUGGGCUCGCGGCCUAUCAGCUUGUUGGUGGGGUAAUGGCCUACCAAGGCGGCGACGGGUAGCCGGCCUGGGAGGGUGGACGGCCACAUUGGGACUGAGAUACGGCCCAGACUCCUACGGGAGGCAGCAGUGGGGAAUAUUGCACAAUGGGCGGAAGCCUGAUGCAGCGACGCCGCGUGGGGGAUGACGGCCUUCGGGUUGUAAACUCCUUUCGACCGCGAGGAAGCCACCUGGUUGGAAGGGUGGUGACGGUAGUGGUAGAAGAAGCACCGGCUAACUACGUG
RNAcentral lists this ribosomal RNA (494 nucleotides) under uncultured bacterium. RNAcentral describes it as "partial 16S ribosomal RNA". It matches the Rfam family "Bacterial small subunit ribosomal RNA", at positions 28 to 507 of the family's 1533-position model. The record is from RNAcentral.